RNAcentral lists this small RNA (122 nucleotides) under Pongo abelii (Sumatran orangutan). RNAcentral describes it as "retained intron". The record is from RNAcentral. Lineage: Eukaryota; Metazoa; Chordata; Mammalia; Primates; Hominidae.
UGCCUACCAAGAUGUUCCACCUGCAAGGUCUACAGAUGCUGCAAAUGCUACAGAAAUCCUUGAGGAAGGGCCUCCCUGAGCCCUUAAAGGUGAGAAUGGAACAUUCUCAGGGAAGCAAACGG